Molecule: ribosomal RNA, 1686 nt
Filed under: Auchenoglanis occidentalis (giraffe catfish)
Lineage: Eukaryota; Metazoa; Chordata; Actinopteri; Siluriformes; Auchenoglanididae
Description: 16S rRNA
Rfam family: Bacterial large subunit ribosomal RNA (bases 84-1593)
Source: RNAcentral
GCCAAAAAGCUAGCUUAACAACCUAAAGACCCAGGACAACAUUAAAAUAUUUCACAAAACAAUAAAACACUAAACUAAAACAUUCUACCGCCCAAGUAUGUGAGACAAAAAAGGCACUAUAAAGCAAUAAUAAAAGUACCGCAAGGGAACGCUGAAAGAGAAAUGAAAAAAAUCAUUAAAGCACAACAAAGCAGAGACUAACCCUCGUACCUUUUGCAUCAUGAUUUAGCCAGCCCCCCUGAGCAAAGAGUACUUUAGUUCAACCCCCCGAAACUAAGUGAGCUACCCCGAGACAGCCUAUUAAUUAGGGCCAACCCGUCUCUGUGGCAAAAGAGUGGGAAGAGCUCCGGGUAGAGGUGAUAGACCUACCGAACCUAGUUAUAGCUGGUUGCCUAAGAAAUGAAUAGAAGUUCAGCUUCGCACUCCUUAACUCAUAGAUAAUUUCAAAACAUACGAGACAAAGAAACAUGCGAAAGUUAGUCAAAGGGGGUACAGCCCCUUUGAUACAGGACACAACCUUACCAGGAGGUUAAAGAUUAUACUAAAUAAGAUCCACCGCCAUAGUGGGCCUAAAAGCAGCCACCUAAACAGAAAGCGUUAAAGCUCCAGCGGACCAAAAAUCUAUUAUCCAAAUAUUCUCUCUCAAACCCCUAACAAUAUUAGGCUAUUCCAUGCCCCCAUGGAAGAAAUACUGCUAAAAUGAGUAAUAAGAAGGCACCCCCUUCUCCAGGCCCACGUGUAUGCUAGAUCGGACCUCCCGCUAGCAAUUAUCGAACCCAACCAAAGAGGGCAAUGUGAACAUAUCAAACACCAAGAAAUUCUCACAUAACCCAAUCGUUACCCCCACACCGGAGGGCCCAAAAACUAAGGAAAGACUAAAAGAAAAGGAAGGAACUCGGCAAAACUUAAAGCCUCGCCUGUUUACCAAAAACAUCGCCUCCUGCAAAACUAUUCAACGUAUAGGAGGUCUUGCCUGCCCAGUGACAAGUUAAACGGCCGCGGUAUUUUGACCGUGCGAAGGUAGCGCAAUCACUUGUCUUUUAAAUGAAGACCUGUAUGAAUGGUGGAACGAGGGCUUAACUGUCUCCCCUUUCAAGUCAAUGAAAUUGAUCUGCCCGUGCAGAAGCGGACAUACUAAUACAAGACGAGAAGACCCUUUGGAGCUUAAGAUAUAAGAUCAACUAUGUCAAGAGCCUCCCAAAUUCCGGCUAAACUAAAUAGUUAAUUGAUUCAUAUCUUCGGUUGGGGCGACCACGGGAGAAAACAAAGCUCCCAAGUGGAAUGGGGCCAACCCCUAAAGCCAAGAAAGACAUCUCUAAGCCACAGAACAUCUGACCAUAAAGAUCCGGCGAAGUGCCGAUCAACGAACCAAGUUACCCUAGGGAUAACAGCGCAAUCCUCUUCCAGAGUCCAUAUCGACAAGAGGGUUUACGACCUCGAUGUUGGAUCAGGACAUCCUAAUGGUGCAGCCGCUAUUAAGGGCUCGUUUGUUCAACGAUUAAAGUCCUACGUGAUCUGAGUUCAGACCGGAGCAAUCCAGGUCAGUUUCUAUCUGUAACGCCACUCUUCCUAGUACGAAAGGACCGGAAGAAUAGGGCCCCUAUUAUUAAUACGCCCUACCCUAACUUAAUGACACCAACUAAACUAAACAAAAGGAGAGCAUAACCCCUAAUCAAGAUAAGAUCU